Molecule: ribosomal RNA, 401 nt
Filed under: uncultured bacterium
Lineage: Bacteria
Description: partial 16S ribosomal RNA
Rfam family: Bacterial small subunit ribosomal RNA
Source: RNAcentral
AAUAUUGGACAAUGGGGGAAACCCUGAUGCAGCAACGCCGCGUGAAGGAUGAAGGUAUNCGGAUUNGNAACUUCUUUAGUCAGGGNAGAAUAAAUGACGGUAACUGAAGAGUAAGCCACGGCUAACUACGUGACAGAAGCCGCGGUAAUACGUAGGUGGCAAGCGUUGUCCGGAAUUAGUGGGUGUAAAGGGCGUGUAGGCGGGAAGGUAAGUCAGAUGUGAAAUCCCAGGGCUCAACCCAGGAGCUGCAUCUAAAACUAUGUUGCUUUAGUAUCGUAGAGGAAAGCGGAAUUCCUCGUGUAGCGGUGAAAUGCGUAGAUAUUAGAAGGAACACCAGUGGCGAAGGCGGCUUUCUGGACGAUAACUGACGCUGAGGCGCGAAAGCGUGGGGAGCAAACAGG